UACGGAGGAUGCGAGCGUUAUCCGGAUUUAUUGGGUUUAAAGGGAGCGUAGAUGGGAGGUUAAGCCAGUUGUGAAAAGCCCGUGCCCAACGCGGGUCGUGCAAUUGGAACUGUCCUUCUUGAGUGGGAACGGGGCAGGUGGAAUUCGUGGUGUAGCGGUGAAAUGCAUAGAUAUCACGAAGAACUCCGACAGCGUAGGCAUCCUGCCAGUCCCUUACUGACAUUGAAGCUCGAAGGUGCGGGUAUCAAAC
RNAcentral lists this ribosomal RNA (250 nucleotides) under uncultured prokaryote. RNAcentral describes it as "partial 16S ribosomal RNA". It matches the Rfam family "Bacterial small subunit ribosomal RNA", at positions 524 to 773 of the family's 1533-position model. The record is from RNAcentral.